CAUUAUGUUUUGGAAAUUUGACAUCAUGAUAUUAUUUUUUUUCAGGCCAGAUGUUUUGUCCUGCUACGUUAAGUCAUCUUGACAUACUGCCAUGAAAUGGAAACAACUGCUAGUUUUAACAUUGCUCCAUAUCUUUAUUAAAAGGUACGUCUCAUGCAUCUUAAUUCCCCAUAUACAUGCUAUCUUCCUCUCUCCCCCCUCUCUCCCAUUAUAGUUCUUUCUUUUCCUCUGUAAAGAAGAAGGCAUAUUAAAAUUUCCUUGCUGUUCUGCCUGACCGGUUAAUAAGGUUCUAGAUAGCAUAAUGAAUAUGCAGUGCUAUUGAUCCUGUGUAUGUGUGUGUGCGUGUGUGUGUCUGUGUGUGCAUGUCUUUAAUCACAGCUGGAAUGCAAAAUCAGGCUCCACCUUUCAACUCUAUCUCCAUCAUGCUGAGAGAGUGAGAGAGAGCGAGACUGAGACUGCUAGACAGCUCGAAAGAGAUUGCAGCUCAGAUGUCCUGGAAAACAGCAAAUCCCUCAGACCUGGCAGAUUCCGUUACCAUGAGAACUGCAGAUAUUUCCAUUGUGAUGGCUUGCUCUAGCAGCCAUCUGUUACACCCAUUUGAUUAGGAAGUACAGUUCAGUUUGUAUGGGAUUUUCGCUGCACCUUAUCCCAUGGCAGUAGUCAUCAAUCUCAUGAGAGUCAUCUUGCCAUCUGUACCAGCAUUGCUCCAGGCUUCCAUAUGAAAGUCCAAUCUGGCGGUAUAAAUACUGGAUAAUGAAGACAUUGGCAGAGUCUUUACUCUGCACACCACUGCUGACCCCAGAUAUGACCCACAGGAACUACUGGCGAAAGGAGCAAAAAGGGGAAAAGAAUUAUCUUCCUGAUGGUCUUGUGUCCUCUGUGCUGGAUCUGCAGUUGUUUUCCGCCUGUAAACUCGCCUCUUGUUGGUCAAGCUUUUCGGCAUUUAUUCAAAUAAAAUUCUUAGGCACUCAGUUGAGAUUGGUAAUUUUUUUUGUUUUGCUUGGCAUAAGAACUGAAGAAAACGUGCCCAGAUCAGGGACCAGCCAACAUCCUCUUUAAUUGCAGCCAGCAGAAAUGAUGUGCUUUGGAU
Molecule: long non-coding RNA, 1090 nt
Filed under: Anser brachyrhynchus (Pink-footed goose)
Lineage: Eukaryota; Metazoa; Chordata; Aves; Anseriformes; Anatidae
Description: lncRNA (ENSABRG00000009369.1)
Source: RNAcentral